This 151-nucleotide ribosomal RNA is filed under the name uncultured methanogenic archaeon. RNAcentral describes it as "partial 16S ribosomal RNA". It matches the Rfam family "Archaeal small subunit ribosomal RNA", at positions 325 to 476 of the family's 1478-position model. Lineage: Archaea; Methanobacteriati; Methanobacteriota. The record is from RNAcentral.
ACGGGGUGCAGCAGGCGCGAAACCUCCACAAUGUACGAGAGUGCGAUGGGGGGAUCCCAAGUGCUAUUCUUAACGGGAUAGCUUUUCUUAAGUGUAAAAAGCUUUUGGAAUAAGAGCUGGGCAAGACCGGUGCCAGCCGCCGCGGUAAAUC